AUACAUUUCCUGGCAACAAGACGAAAGUUAGUCUACUGAGAAGUUUAUGCAGAGGGAAUAUUUCUUGUAUAUACAGUUGUGUCUUGUUCUCAGAUGCCCAUACCAAAGCAAUUACUGCAUGGGAGAUGCCGACUGGCUGGAAGAACCUGUUCAUUCUGGGCCUGGAAUGGAGUCUGUGAGGAGCUCAGCUUCCUGGGGUGGAAGGAGGAGAACUUCCUUGUCAGCAACUGAGAAGAUCCUGAAGAGUUCCAAGUUGAGGAGGUGCCCUGCAGGAGUGAUGCAGAGACACAGAAAAGAUUUCUCACCACUUGAUCUCAGCAUGUGGCUCUCAUCUGGUGCUGUGCUCUCUCUGCUCCUUUGCCUGGGACAGUGUCAGAGCAAGUGGGGGUUUCAAAAUUCAUCUGUAGCGGGGAGAGCAGGAGGAAUCCUGUUUUCCUCACUGCCCAGACUAAAGAAAUUGCUCCAACCACACCUUUCCUUCUGGAUCUUCCUUCCAAGGAGAGCUUCUUCACAAGCAAGAGAAGCAGAGGCUUGCACAGCUCUUCCACAGUCAUGCCCUGCUCUUUCACUGCCCAUCAACUGCACGGUGUUGUCUCCUCCCACGUUGCAGGCUUGUUUUACACCUGGAAGAGUCAUCCCAAAUGCAGGCUCAGUAGUCAGGUGCAGCCCUGAAAUGAGAGAGGGGAACAGCAAAGAGAUAAGAGAGGCAGAAGAAGGCACCAGCCACCAGCCCAGGAUGUCCCAGGGGUUCCACAAGCAGGUACCACCCCUGUGUGUCUUUGUGAAACGAGCCAGGACAGGAUUUUCCUCACUGAUUCUGGCUGGCUCAAGCAGUGGCUCUCUUCUCCCUGAGUCCUGAAGUGUGAGGUGCUCACCCUGGCAAGGAAUUCAUCACUCUGUGCUGAGCUCACUGGAGCUUGUCACGCAGAGAGACGCAGCCCCACGCUCUUCCUCGCCUCCUUAACACAGAGGCUCCGUGGCAAAAAAUCCCUGACAACCUUCUUUAUGUCUUUUGGAGCACUUACACUUGUAUUGUUCAACUCUGAAUAGAGAGUUUUUAAAAUUAGUUUGUUCUCCAGACCAAUUAGAGACUUUUAUGACCUCGCCAGCCAGCCAUGGAUCAAGGGUGGGAAGUGCUAUUUUGGCAAAAAAUAUUCCAGUUUCUCUUAUUUUCUCACUGUUGGUUUGGUUUGUUGGGUUUUUUUAAUAUAAUAUAAACAUUCAGGUAAAGAACUACAUGUAUAAAGGAGGUGAGGUUUAGUGAAGAAGCAAACAGAUUUAUUUUUUUUUGCUUAUGUGGAAGGGGAGAAAAAAUAAGACAGCUGC
RNAcentral lists this long non-coding RNA (1326 nucleotides) under Cyanistes caeruleus (blue tit). RNAcentral's name for it is "lncRNA (ENSCCEG00000021807.1)". Lineage: Eukaryota; Metazoa; Chordata; Aves; Passeriformes; Paridae. The record is from RNAcentral.